CCUACGGGGGGCUGCAGUGGGGAAUAUUGCACAAUGGGCGCAAGCCUGAUGCAGCCAUGCCGCGUGUGUGAAGAAGGCCUUCGGGUUGUAAAGCACUUUCAGCGGGGAGGAAGGCGGUGAGGUUAAUAACCUCAUCGAUUGACGUUACCCGCAGAAGAAGCACCGGCUAACUCCGUGCCAGCAGCCGCGGUAAUACGGAGGGUGCAAGCGUUAAUCGGAAUUACUGGGCGUAAAGCGCACGCAGGCGGUCUGUCAAGUCGGAUGUGAAAUCCCCGGGCUCAACCUGGGAACUGCAUUCGAAACUGGCAGGCUAGAGUCUUGUAGAGGGGGGUAGAAUUCCAGGUGUAGCGGUGAAAUGCGUAGAGAUCUGGAGGAAUACCGGUGGCGAAGGCGGCCCCCUGGACAAAGACUGACGCUCAGGUGCGAAAGCGUGGGGAGCAAACAGGAAUAGAUACCCUAGUAGUC
This 465-nucleotide ribosomal RNA is filed under the name uncultured Klebsiella sp. Its description in RNAcentral is "bacterial SSU rRNA". It matches the Rfam family "Bacterial small subunit ribosomal RNA", at positions 338 to 795 of the family's 1533-position model. The record is from RNAcentral. Lineage: Bacteria; Pseudomonadati; Pseudomonadota; Gammaproteobacteria; Enterobacterales; Enterobacteriaceae.